CCUACGGGAGGCAGCAGUGAGGAAUAUUGGUCAAUGGACGAGAGUCUGAACCAGCCAAGUAGCGUGAAGGAUGACUGCCCUAUGGGUUGUAAACUUCUUUUAUAAAGGAAUAAAACGAGGCACGUGUGCCUUUUUGUAUGGACUUUAUGAAUAAGGAUCGGCUAACUCCGUUCCAGCAGCCGCGGUAAUACGGAGGAUCCGAGCGUUAUCCGGAUUUAUUGGGUUUAAAGGGAGCGUAGAUGGGUUGUUAAGUCAGUUGUGAAAGUUUGCGGCUCAACCGUAAAAUUGCAAUUGAUACUGGCAGUCUUGAGUACAGUUGAGGUAAGCGGAAUUCGUGGUGUAGCGGUGAAAUGCUUAGAUAUCACGAAGAACCCCGAUUGCGAAGGCAGCUUACUAAACUGUGACUGACAUUGAUGCUCGAAAGUGUGGGUAUCAAACAGGAUUAGAUACCCUAGUAGUC
This 460-nucleotide ribosomal RNA is filed under the name uncultured bacterium. RNAcentral describes it as "partial 16S ribosomal RNA". It matches the Rfam family "Bacterial small subunit ribosomal RNA", at positions 338 to 795 of the family's 1533-position model. The record is from RNAcentral.